GUGAGGAAUUUUCAGCAAUGGGCGAAAGCCUGACGGAGCAAUGCCGCGUGAAGGAUGAAGGCCUAUGGGUUGUAAACUUCUUUUCUCAGAAAAGAAUUAUGACGGUAUCUGAGGAAUAAGCAUCGGCUAACUCUGUGCCAGCAGCCGCGGUAAGACAGAGGAUGCAAGCGUUAUCCGGAAUGAUUGGGCGUAAAGCGUCUGUAGGUUGUUUAAAAAGUAUUCUGUCAAAGAUUAGGGCUUAACCCUAGAGAGGAAGAAGGAAUACCCGGUGGAGCGGUGAAAAGCGUAGAUAUCGGGAGGAACACCAAAGGCGAAGGAACUCUGCUGGGCCAAUACUAACAAUGAGAAACGAAAGCGGGGGGAGCAAAUGAGAUUAGAAACCCCAGUAGUCC
This 392-nucleotide ribosomal RNA is filed under the name uncultured bacterium. RNAcentral describes it as "bacterial SSU rRNA". It matches the Rfam family "Bacterial small subunit ribosomal RNA", at positions 354 to 796 of the family's 1533-position model. The record is from RNAcentral.